AUCAAGAGUCAAGACAGAAAGUGAUAACUUGAUUUUGAGAAGGAGAAAAACAUUUCAAACAUUUGCAGAUAUAUUUACUGAAAAUUGAAGUUAUCAAGUUUAUGAUCUUUAAAUAGAGUGUCAAAACUUCUAGGUACAUCAACAAUUGCUUUGCUUGAAUUUUUGCAAGAAAAAAUUACAUGUGAUUUAUGGACACUAUUUUGUUUGCAAAAUUCAAUACAUUAGUUUUAAUAACGUAAUUUCUUCAUAGUUCAUACUAAUACUUGUAAAGAUGCAUCACAUAGAAAAACACUGCAAUAAAGAUGCAUAAAUUGGAGGCAUGCACUAAAUGAAGGCUUAAAAUAUUUUAAUCUUUUACCACAGAACAGAAGCUUCAACCUCUGGUUCUUUUUAUUGCAAUUUUUCACCAUGUCAUGUCUUACCAAUAUAGUAUAUGUG
Molecule: unclassified non-coding RNA, 438 nt
Filed under: Hevea brasiliensis (rubber tree)
Lineage: Eukaryota; Viridiplantae; Streptophyta; Magnoliopsida; Malpighiales; Euphorbiaceae
Source: RNAcentral